Epinephelus moara (kelp grouper) is the source of this 1047-nucleotide long non-coding RNA. RefSeq lists it as uncharacterized. The transcript has 3 exons. Lineage: Eukaryota; Metazoa; Chordata; Actinopteri; Perciformes; Serranidae. The record is from RefSeq and is a predicted model, not a curated record.
UGUUGGGUUUUCGCUAGCAGACAUGUUGUUGUCCGGAGAAAGAGACAAGGCUGCGAGUUGCUUAGAGUAUUUUCAAGUUUUAUCUGCAAGGUCGACUACUCGUGGUCCUGAUAAUGACUUGUUUAAAAUCCGAAAAAAGGAGAUGUGGCGAGAUGAAGAGAGGUCGAGCGGUUUUCCCGGUCUUCCCAGUCUAUGGACUCUGCUGUUUUCUUCCUGUGAUGCUGUGUACUAACUGCUCAACUGUGACUGCCAUUGGCCCUGUGACUGCUAUCCCCACUAACAAUUCGUUUGGGAUUCUGGACGACUUGAAAAAAAAUGGAAGAACUUGAGGGACAGGUUCAUUAAGGAGAGGAAAGCAGCCAGGGAGAAAAAAAGUGGGUCAGCAGCGGACCACAAGCCCCUCUGGAAAUUUUAUUCAAUUAUGACUUUUUUGGAGCCGAGUGUGACAGAGAGAGAGAGCACAUCUAACUUCUCCAGCACACGCCCCCCCCCACGGAUGCUGAUGAUGACACCUUCACCCUCAAUCUGACCAUGGUCCCCUCUGAGGAGAAUGAAGUGUCCGAGUCUGUGGUCACACAAGGCACCUCAAGCUUCCCCUCAGCGCCAGUGUCCACCCCCUGUCCUACUCCCCCACUUCCUCCAGCACCCUCAGCACCCCCAGCAACCCCAGCACCCCCAGGACCCCCAGGUCAGAGGGCUGGGAAAGCUAAAAAUAAAAGACAGAGGCAGGAUGAUGAGGCCUUCGAGAAUGAGGUGAUGGGGAUGCUCAGUGCUAGGCCAGAUGAGGAGGAGCUCUUCCUGCUGAGCCUGGCACCUCGCCUCAGAAAUCUGACAAGUGAAAAGAAGAGUCUUUUUAAAAUAGAAAUUCUGCAGGCGUUGCACAGGGCUGAGUUUUCAUAGACUUUUUUUUACGUUUUUGUUAAAAACACACACACACACACACACACUCUAUUGAGUCUCCUCGGGCUGCUGUGAAGGCGAUGUUUUGGGCCUGUUCUGGUUCCUGUUAAAUAAGAUCAAGUUUAAAUAAAAAAAGUUUGCAAAAAA